AGAGUUUGAUCCUGGCUCAGGACGAACGCUGGCGGCGUGCUUAACACAUGCAAGUCGAACGAGAUCCAUUGUGGUAACACCAGAGAAGAUCUAGUGGCGAACGGGUGGAGUAACAACGUGAGCAACCUACCCCGAACGAUUGGGAUAACACCGGAAACCGAUGCUAAUACCGAAUACCCCACCGGGUCACAUGGCCUGAUGAGGAAAUGGGUUUCUGCUUCGGGAGAGGCUCGCGGCCUAUCAGCUUGUUGGCAGGGUAAUGGCCUACCAAGGCAACGACGGGUAGCUGGUCUGAGAAGACGACCAGCCACACUGGGACUGAGACACGGCCCAGACUCCUACGGGA
RNAcentral lists this ribosomal RNA (346 nucleotides) under uncultured prokaryote. Its description in RNAcentral is "bacterial SSU rRNA". It matches the Rfam family "Bacterial small subunit ribosomal RNA", at positions 8 to 346 of the family's 1533-position model. The record is from RNAcentral.